GCCAUUCUCCUGCGUCAGCCUCCUGAGUAGCUGGGACUACAGGCACCCGCUACCACUCCCGGCUAAUUUUGUGUGUGUGUGUGUUUUUAGUAGAGACGGGGUUUCACCAUUUUGGCCAGGCUGGUCUCGAACUCCUGACCUCAAGUGAUCCGCCUGCCUUGGCCUCCCAAGUUUUGUUUGUUUGUUUUUUAUUUCUUCUAAACAAAACAAAACAAACAGGAUACACGUGCAGAACGUGCAGAGACAGUGUCUCACCUUGUCACCCAGGUUGGAGUGUAGUGGCACAAUGAUAGCUCACUGCAGCCUCGACCUGCGCUCAAGGGAUCAUCCCGCCUCAGCCUCCUAAGCAGCAGCUGGUACUACAGAGACGGUUUUGAUACGUUGCCCAGGCUGGUCUUGAACUCCUGGGCUCAAGCAAUCUGCCCGCCUCAGCCUCCCAAAGUGCUCCUGCACUGUUUUAAGGUCCUGUCUGAAGUCCUGUGAACGUACUGUCUGAGGCACAGUCCUGAUAAACCCUGCUACAGAUGUGAACAGCACGACCUAA
Long non-coding RNA from Pan troglodytes (chimpanzee), 544 nucleotides. RefSeq lists it as uncharacterized. Lineage: Eukaryota; Metazoa; Chordata; Mammalia; Primates; Hominidae. The record is from RefSeq and is a predicted model, not a curated record. The transcript is spliced from 3 exons.